Molecule: ribosomal RNA, 449 nt
Filed under: uncultured bacterium
Lineage: Bacteria
Description: bacterial SSU rRNA
Rfam family: Bacterial small subunit ribosomal RNA
Source: RNAcentral
GGCCAGACUCCUACGGGAGGCAGCAGUGGGGAAUAUUGCACAAUGGGGGAAACCCUGAUGCAGCGACGCCGCGUGGGUGAAGGAGCGUUUCGGCGCGUAAAGCCCUAUCGGCAGGGAAGAAGGAGGACGGUACCUGACUAAGAAGCCCCGGCUAACUACGUGCCAGCAGCCGCGGGAAUACGUAGGGGGCAAGCGUUAUCCGGGUUUACUGGGUGUAAAGGGGGCGCAGACGGCAGCGCAAGCCAGGAGUGAAAGCCCGGGGCCCAACCCCGGGACUGCUCUUGGAACUGCGCGGCUGGAGUGCAGGAGGGGCAGGCGGAAUUCCUGGUGUAGCGGUGAAAUGCGUAGAUAUUAGGAGGAACACCAGUGGCGAAGGCGGCUUACUGGACUGUAACUGACGUUGAGGCUCGAAAGCGUGGGGAGCAAACAGGAUUAGAUACCCCAGUAGU